Molecule: ribosomal RNA, 580 nt
Filed under: uncultured bacterium
Lineage: Bacteria
Description: partial 16S ribosomal RNA
Rfam family: Bacterial small subunit ribosomal RNA
Source: RNAcentral
UGGGGAAUUUUGGACAAUGGGCGAAAGCCUGAUCCAGCAAUGCCGCGUGUGUGAAGAAGGCCUUCGGGUUGUAAAGCACUUUUGUCCGGAAAGAAAUCCUUGGCUCUAAUACAGUCGGGGGAUGACGGUACCGGAAGAAUAAGCACCGGCUAACUACGUGCCAGCAGCCGCGGUAAUACGUAGGGUGCAAGCGUUAAUCGGAAUUACUGGGCGUAAAGCGUGCGCAGGCGGUUUGCUAAGACCGAUGUGAAAUCCCCGGGCUCAACCUGGGAACUGCAUUGGUGACUGGCAGGCUAGAGUAUGGCAGAGAGGGGUAGAAUUCCACGUGUAGCAGUGAAAUGCGUAGAGAUGUGGAGGAAUACCGAUGGCGAAGGCAGCCCCCUGGGCCAAUACUGACGCUCAUGCACGAAAGCGUGGGGAGCAAACAGGAUUAGAUACCCUGGUAGUCCACGCCCUAAACGAUGUCAACUAGUUGUUGGGGAUUCAUUUCCUUAGUAACGUAGCUAACGCGUGAAGUUGACCGCCUGGGGAGUACGGUCGCAAAGAUUAAAACUCAAAUGAAUUGACGGGGUCAUAGCUG